Molecule: ribosomal RNA, 309 nt
Filed under: Triticum aestivum (bread wheat)
Lineage: Eukaryota; Viridiplantae; Streptophyta; Magnoliopsida; Poales; Poaceae
Description: partial small subunit ribosomal RNA
Source: RNAcentral
AUGGGUGCUCGACGGCACGCUGUAGACCAGGAGGAGGAUCUCCUGGUGGAGCUUGGCAGAAGCAAGACACUUGGAUGUAACUUCAGUACAGCACAACAUUGUUUUAUUAUUAUUAUUGAGAAUUUGUUUUGUGGUGUAGGAGCUUUCAAGACAACAUGGGGCAGCAGGCUUCAUGUUCAGGAUUCGUGUAGUAGCACACUGAUAUUUGUUAUGUGGUACAGGAGCUUCGAGACAACAGGGGUAGCAGGCUUCAAGGCAACAAUUUUUUCUAUGAUUUUCUCACCAAAUCUGAAAUUAUUUGGCCCCUAA